CGUCUAUAUACGUAUAGCAUAUCAAUAAGCGGAGGAAAAGAAACUAACUAGGAUUCCCUUAGUAACGGCGAGUGAAGCGGGAAGAGCUCAAAUUUGAAAUCUUCAAGGUUUUACCUUGACGAAUUGUAGUUUAAAGAAGUGUUUUCUGUUAGUGGAGUUUGGUAAAAGUUCUUUGGAAUAGGACAUCAUAGAGGGUGAGAAUCCCGUAUUUGGACCAUUACUUCCCUAGCUUUGUGAUACACUUUCAAAGAGUCGGAUUGUUUGGGAAUGCAGUCCAAAAUGGGUGGUAAAUUUCAUCUAAAGCUAAAUACUGGCGAGAGACCGAUAGCGAACAAGUACCGUGAGGGAAAGAUGAAAAGAACUUUGAAAAGGAGAGUUAAACAGUACGUGAAAUUGUCAAAAGGGAAGCGUUUGACACCAGUGUUGUUUUUCCGAAAAUCAAUUACGAAUGUUUUAUUUUUGAGGAGUUAUGACUUCAUCGGCUUGCUCCUUUCUUUAUCGAAACUUUCUUAAUGCACUUUUCGGUUAACAAGUCAACAUCAAUUUCUUUUGUUGUAAAAGGGUCAUUGGAAGGUGGCUUUCUUUUCGGAGAAAGUGUUUAUAGCCUUUGGCCUCUGCAAUCGGAGAGAUUGAGGUCUGCAGCGUAGAUCCUUCGGGGUUAGAUACAUUUGUGCUAAGUUAUAGCCUUUCAUAGACAACUUGUUGACUAUGAUCAGUCAUGUAGCUUACUCGCUUAUGCUAUUUUACCUACGCUUAGGAUGUUGACUGAUAUGUAGUCGUA
RNAcentral lists this ribosomal RNA (781 nucleotides) under uncultured Neocallimastigales. Its description in RNAcentral is "partial large subunit ribosomal RNA". It matches the Rfam family "Eukaryotic large subunit ribosomal RNA", at positions 26 to 644 of the family's 3401-position model. Lineage: Eukaryota; Fungi; Neocallimastigomycota; Neocallimastigomycetes; Neocallimastigales. The record is from RNAcentral.